Molecule: non-coding RNA, 148 nt
Filed under: Nomascus leucogenys (northern white-cheeked gibbon)
Lineage: Eukaryota; Metazoa; Chordata; Mammalia; Primates; Hylobatidae
Source: Rfam by way of RNAcentral
GCCGGGUGUGGUGGCUCACGCCUGUAAUUCCAGCUACUUGGGAGGCUGAGACAGGAGAAUCACUUGAGCCCAGGAGAUGGAAGUUGCAGUGAGACAAGAUGGUGCCACUGCACUCCAGCCUGGGCAACAGAGUGAGACUCUGCCUCGG